Molecule: non-coding RNA, 204 nt
Organism: Cucumis melo (muskmelon)
Lineage: Eukaryota; Viridiplantae; Streptophyta; Magnoliopsida; Cucurbitales; Cucurbitaceae
Gene: MIR167D
Product: microRNA MIR167d
Exons: 2
Source: RefSeq, marked provisional
UUUGAGAGGUUGAAGCUGCCAGCAUGAUCUGAUUUAAUUUGCUGAAUUCUCUUUUAAUUUAGAGAUUUUCAUAAAGCAAUAUUAUUGAAAUUAAUAAGGCAAAAAAUGGGUUUUCUUCUAUGGAUCUUGAUGAUGUUAUGCUUUUCAAGGGUUUUUUUUUUUAAUUUGAAAAUCAGGUCAUUCUAGCAGCUUCAAUCACUCAUU